This 845-nucleotide ribosomal RNA is filed under the name uncultured marine bacterium. Its description in RNAcentral is "bacterial SSU rRNA". It matches the Rfam family "Bacterial small subunit ribosomal RNA", at positions 41 to 928 of the family's 1533-position model. The record is from RNAcentral.
GGCGAUGGGGGCUACCUGCAGUCGACGGAGCCUUUCGGGGCUUAGUGGCGGACGGGUGAGUAACGCGUGAGGAUCUGGCCUUAGGACGGGGACAACAUUGGGAAACCGAUGCUAAUACCGGAUGAGCCGAGAGGUAAAAUAUUUUAUAGCCUAGGGAUGAACUCGCGUCUGAUUAGCUAGUUGGUGGGGUAAGAGCCUACCAAGGCGACGAUCAGUAGCUGGUCUGAGAGGAUGAUCAGCCACACUGGGACUGAGACACGGCCCAGACUCCUACGGGAGGCAGCAGUGGGGAAUUUUCCGCAAUGGGCGCAAGCCUGACGGAGCAACGCCGCGUGCGGGAGGACGGUUUGUGGACUGUAAACCGCUUUUAAUAGGGAAGAAUAACUGACGGUACCUAUUGAAUCAGCAUCGGCUAACUCCGUGCCAGCAGCCGCGGUAAUACGGAGGAUGCAAGCGUUAUCCGGAAUUAUUGGGCGUAAAGGGUCCGCAGGUGGCCAUACAAGUCAGCUGUUAAAGACUGGGGCUUAACCCCGGGAGAGCAGAUGAAACUGUGUAGCUAGAGUACGGUAGGGGUAGAGGGAAUUCCUAGUGUAGCGGUGAAAUGCGUAGAUAUUAGGAAGAACACCAGUGGCGAAGGCGCUCUACUGGGCCUGUACUGACACUGAGGGACGAAAGCUAGGGGAGCGAAAGGGAUUAGAUACCCCUGUAGUCCUAGCUGUAAACGAUGGAUACUAGGUGUUGCACGUAUCGACCCGUGCAGUAUCGUAGCCAACGCGUUAAGUAUCCCGCUUGGGGAGUACGCACGCAAGUGUGAAACUCAAAGGAAUUGACGGGGGCCCGCACAG